UACGUAGGGUGCAAGCGUUGUCCGGAAUUAUUGGGCGUAAAGAGCUCGUAGGCGGUUUGUCGCGUCGGCUGUGAAAGCCCGGAGCUCAACUCCGGGUCUGCAGUCGAUACGGGCAGACUUGAGUGUUGCAGGGGAGACUGGAAUUCCUGGUGUAGUGGUGAAAUGCGUAGAGAUCGGGAGGAACACCAGUGGCGAAGGCGGCCGGCUGGGGGGUGACCUGACGCUGAGGCGCGAAAGCGUGGGGAGCGAACCGGG
RNAcentral lists this ribosomal RNA (255 nucleotides) under uncultured bacterium. RNAcentral's name for it is "partial 16S ribosomal RNA". It matches the Rfam family "Bacterial small subunit ribosomal RNA", at positions 524 to 777 of the family's 1533-position model. The record is from RNAcentral.